GGGAGGGGAACAAGAUAUGAAUCAAGCUAAAAUCCCAGGCAAUAAGAUUUCUUGUUUCUAAGGCCUUGUUUUCCCCUGUGUUUGAUAAGAAAGUUCAUUUAUUACCCUGUUUUUAACCUAGGUAAUAAUUGAGCAUUCAGUCAUUGUUAGACUCACCGUUCUGCCAAAAUUUAUUAAAAUGAAGCAAUUAACUAUUGUCUUAAAUGGAGUUUAGAGGGGUGAAGGUACACAGCUAAAAUCAAGAGGAGUUUGGCUUCUACCUGCAGGGAGGUUGUGAUCAAACACCCAAGAAAUGCCUGAGAUCAUCUAUUCCAAACCCCUGGCAAUGAGCAGCAACAUCUUCAACUGGAUUGGGUUUUUCAGAUCUUCAUCCAAUUUAAGAUAAAAUGAAAUCCAACAAUUUCUGAGUAAA
This is a long non-coding RNA of Passer domesticus (house sparrow), 412 nucleotides long. RefSeq lists it as uncharacterized. The record is from RefSeq and is a predicted model, not a curated record. Lineage: Eukaryota; Metazoa; Chordata; Aves; Passeriformes; Passeridae. The transcript is spliced from 3 exons.